ACAGAGUACAGUGUAGUGUACAGUGGCAGUGUACAGUUUUCCUAGUCUUUUCUCUGUGUGUGUAUACUGGAAAGCGGUUGGGCAUGUCGUGGUAUGCUCUGUCACAGAGUCAACAUACGCAAUUAGCUAGUAAAACAUAAUGAAAAAAGUGUUUGCGCUUUGCUCUCUGGCUCUCCUUCUACAUGUGGACCGAGGCGACAAUUUUCUUCAUUAUCAGUUUGACAUGGACUGAUCACUCAGAAGGCAGAGCAGACAUGAUCUGAGCAACUGGAAGACAGAGACCCAACCCAAGGGCCCGAGCUGUGGAUUUAAAUGCUGCACAUUGGAGCCUUUACGUUAGCCAGUCGGCUUGCUUGUUGGUUUGUUUGCGCUAGUGUUUGCUCUUGGGUCACAGGGGAGCCUGGAGUCUGUCCCAGGGGGACUCGGGGCACAAGGCGGGGGACACCCUGGACGGGUUGCCAACCCAUCGCAGGACACAAUCGCACAUACAUUCACACACUACAGACAAUAUGGAAAUGACAAUCAGCCUACAAAGUGUGUCUCUGGACUGUGGGAGGAAACCUCUGAAGCAAGCGGGGGCAACCCCAGAGAUAUCAACACAGGCUGCAGUAAUAUAAAGAGUAUGUAUGUCAUAAUAAGCACAUAUAAAGAAUAAAUACUGUAUAUGUGUAGAGAGUAGUAUGUAUCGUUACAUUAAUACCAAAAUUUAAGAUAUGUACACAAAAGAAAUGGUCAAAAAGUGUUCGGGUUUUGUGCAUAGGUUAAUAUCAGUGUGUGGCCCAGAGUUUGGAUGUUGGAAGUGUUCUUGUUUAAUGCUGAACAACUUCUAGAAAUACUAUUAGACUAUACAUGUUAGAAAUGGUCUAGAAAUAAAGAAUCUAACAUUAUUAGAAACAUAAACAUAAAAUCCAUCUGCACACAAAUACUCACGCUGUUUGUAGUUCAGGGUCACAUCUCUAAUAGACGCAGCUAGCCUGCUAACCCUAGACAGCUAGCUAAAAUAUGGUGUAGAGAACAUAACACUUAGUAAUGUUUUCCCCCAAUCUGUGUUCCCUAUGUAUUUUGUCUAAUUUUAUUCACCAUGUCAUCAGCAUGCCAGCUAAAACCCACACUGGAGUAUAAAAAGACACAGAUCUUGUGAGCCGAGGGCUCGAAUCACUCACGCUCACCCGAUAUGUUUGAAAUACAAAAAUUUGCAGAAAUGCACCAACACCUCCCAUUAUAGUCACCAAUCAUGAGUUCUGUAGCUCAACUACUUCCCAGCAAAUUCCCCAACAAGGACAAAUCUAGCCUUCACUAGGUUCUGAGAACAAAUAAAUAUCUUGCUUGUUUAGCAAUAAGAUAAGAUUAGUAAAAAAAAAGCUAACACUCCAUCAGUCCUGAAUCCUUUUUCCUCUUAUAGGACAAUAUCAGACUCUUAUUCACUAUUUUCAUGAAAAGAAAAAUGAAUAUCAUCUAAUUAGUUCUGUAGUUUGUGCUACACAAUAAUACUAAUCAA
This is a long non-coding RNA of Pangasianodon hypophthalmus (striped catfish), 1498 nucleotides long. RefSeq lists it as uncharacterized. NCBI's taxonomy places the organism in Eukaryota, Metazoa, Chordata, Actinopteri, Siluriformes, Pangasiidae. The record is from RefSeq and is a predicted model, not a curated record. The transcript has 3 exons.